This 125-nucleotide small RNA is filed under the name Marmota monax (woodchuck). The record is from RNAcentral. Lineage: Eukaryota; Metazoa; Chordata; Mammalia; Rodentia; Sciuridae.
GCUGGGUACGGUGGUGCAAACCUGUAAUCCCAGUGGCUCAGGAGGCUGAGGCAGGAGGAUCGUGAGUUCAAAGCCAGCCUCAGCAAUGGUGAGGCACUAAGCAACUCAGUGAGACUCUGUCUCUA